Molecule: long non-coding RNA, 449 nt
Organism: Mesocricetus auratus (golden hamster)
Lineage: Eukaryota; Metazoa; Chordata; Mammalia; Rodentia; Cricetidae
Exons: 3
Source: RefSeq, a predicted model, not a curated record
AGAUAGGUCACGGCUCAUGCGAUUCGGAGUCGGCCUGAACUGCAUGCCCGAAGAGGGACAGGAACCUUGGAAAUGAAGUGUGUGUCGGAAAAUGCCACCCAAGCUUUCAGAAACUCCAGAAGUCCUGAAAGACGUAUUCCUCAGUGAGACAGAGAGCGUGUGGGCAGGAUUGCAGAGGUUCAUGGAGCAGACAUGCACAAGCUUGGGGCAUUCUAUGAAAAGUUUCCACACGAGAGAGAGAUUAUCUCCUACCCCUGUGCAUAAUGCUGACGCACAACACAGGAAAUUAAGUGGUAAAGGAGAAGGAGCUGAGAGUUCUACAUCUGCAUCAGCAGGAGAAGGAGCUGCGAGUUCUGUGUCUGCAUCAACAGGAGAAGGAGCUGAGAGUUCUACAUCUACAUCAGCAGGAGAAGGAGCUGAGAGUUCUGUAUCUGCAUCAGCAGGAGAAG